GGUUAGCUCAGUUGGAUAGAGCGCUGGCCUCCGGAGCCAGAGGCCGCAGGUUCGACUCCUGCACCG
This 66-nucleotide transfer RNA is filed under the name marine eukaryotic metagenome. It matches the Rfam family "tRNA", at positions 5 to 66 of the family's 71-position model. Rfam says of the family: Transfer RNA (tRNA) molecules are approximately 80 nucleotides in length. Their secondary structure includes four short double-helical elements and three loops (D, anti-codon, and T loops). The record is from RNAcentral.